UGCCAGCCGCCGCGGUAAUACGGAGGUUCCUAGCGUUGUUCGGAAUUACUGGGCGUAGAGGGAGCGCAGGCGGAUAGGUCAGUUCAAAGUGGAAUCCCAGGGCUCAACCCUGGACGUGCUUUGGAUACUGCCUGUCUUGAGUUCGUGAGAGGAAAGUGGAAUUCAGGGUGUAGCGGUGAAAUGCUUAGAUAUCCUGAGGAACACCAGUGGCGAAAGCGACUUUCUGGCACGAAACUGACGCUGAAACUCGAAAACAUGGGUAGCGAACGGGAUUAGAUA
RNAcentral lists this ribosomal RNA (279 nucleotides) under uncultured bacterium. Its description in RNAcentral is "partial 16S ribosomal RNA". It matches the Rfam family "Bacterial small subunit ribosomal RNA", at positions 506 to 784 of the family's 1533-position model. The record is from RNAcentral.